This 435-nucleotide ribosomal RNA is filed under the name Triticum aestivum (bread wheat). RNAcentral describes it as "partial small subunit ribosomal RNA". Lineage: Eukaryota; Viridiplantae; Streptophyta; Magnoliopsida; Poales; Poaceae. The record is from RNAcentral.
AAGUUAUGGUGGGGAAGUAAGGUGGGUGAAAGAAAAAUUGCCUGGGUUGCAUGAGACAUCAUGACGAUGCCAAAGUAUGAUGGAUGGGUUUGAUACAUAGAAUUGUUCAACUUGGCGUUGCUAGAGCGCCAAGUGUGGCGAAUAUUGCAUGAUUUGAGAAUGUUGGGUUCGAGGAUUCCCAAGAUAGUUUAUUUCCCUAACUCUGAUAUCCUUUGUGUUGAAGUUGGUUCACAUCCAUCUCAAGUGUAGCACUCCCUGUGUGAAGCUAGAGAUAUACUGCAGUUGGCGCUGAUAAUAAGAAUUGGAGACGGACUAGCUACAAACGCAUGGCAAGAAAAUUGGAUUUCACGGGAUUUCAAGCCAAGCCCCACAUGUGCUUUAUCUGUUAACCCUCAUGUCUUGGUCUCAGAAUUCAUUUGCUCGACGACCCGAUAG